Molecule: ribosomal RNA, 500 nt
Filed under: uncultured bacterium
Lineage: Bacteria
Description: partial 16S ribosomal RNA
Rfam family: Bacterial small subunit ribosomal RNA
Source: RNAcentral
AUUGAACGCUGGCGGCAGGCUUAACACAUGCAAGUCGAGCGGUUGACGGGAGCUUGCUCCCUGAUUCAGCGGCGGACGGGUGAGUAAUGCCUAGGAAUCUGCCUAUUAGUGGGGGACAACGUUUCGAAAGGAACGCUAAUACCGCAUACGUCCUACGGGAGAAAGCAGGGGACCUUCGGGCCUUGCGCUAAUAGAUGAGCCUAGGUCGGAUUAGCUUGUUGGUGAGGUAAUGGCUCACCAAGGCGACGAUCCGUAACUGGUCUGAGAGGAUGAUCAGUCACACGGGAACUGAGACACGGUCCAGACUCCUACGGGAGGCAGCAGUGGGGAAUAUUGGACAAUGGGCGAAAGCCUGAUCCAGCCAUGCCGCGUGUGUGAAGAAGGUCUUCGGAUUGUAAAGCACUUUAAGUUGGGAGGAAGGGUUGUAGAUUAAUACUCUGCAAUUUUGACGUUACCGACAGAAUAAGCACCGGCUAACUCUGUGCCAGCAGCCGCCGUAA